Molecule: non-coding RNA, 54 nt
Organism: Danio rerio (zebrafish)
Lineage: Eukaryota; Metazoa; Chordata; Actinopteri; Cypriniformes; Danionidae
Source: Rfam
AAGUCGCUCAUCUGUAAGUCGCUUUGGAUAAAAGCGUCUGCUAAAUGACUAAAU